GGUGGGAUCAUUACACUUUUCCAACAAACAACAACAGAAACAGUCUUAAAACAACUGUCUCUUCAACCCGAGUGAACUCUGUUUUUCAUACAUCAAACCCGUUCUCUAUUCAAUAAUGAUAGCACUGAAAGGAAGAUUUUAGUGGAUUCAUACUUCGGUUCGGUGAGAGAGAGUAAGAGUCUCAAUCGGUCAGUCUCUUCGGAGAUUGCACUUCAGUACUGUUGGUUGAGAAGAGAGCUUUUCUCACUGUAUUUCAUAAUUUUUAACCCAUUGUAACCAUUACAAAAUUGAACUGUGAUUGUGAGUGGUGUCAAAACCUCCUCAAUCUCACACUAUAUCUUAAUUGUUAUUUGAACAACUCUUAACAACGGAUAUCUAGGCUCUCGGGUCGAUGAAGGCCGCAGCGAAAUGCGAUACGUAAUGCGAAUUGCAGAAUUCAGUGAGUCAUCAAAGCGCUUAACGCAACUUGCGCCGUUGGGGAACCCUGACGGCAUGCCUCUUUGAGUAUCGUUUCAACACAUCUCUCAGGACUCUCUUUUUUACGAGUAAAAGAGGGAGAACGAUUGAGGAGAGUAUACGAGUUUCUCUCUGAUUUCUACUUUCGGUAGAAUUUGAGAGUGACUUCAGUUGAUUCCAAUACAUGCAAGUGUUCCGCUCAUUUUAACCGAUGAAUUCGAUCAUUCGUUUUAUACUGACCGGUGCUUUGAUAAUUGAUUUUAUUAUCAUACAUUUUGAAGCAUUCCGUGUCUGAAUGUGUCGAAGGAACAUAUCUGUAUUGUCAGUAACAGUAAUGAACGUGAGAGAGUAAAAUCUCUGACAUAAAUUAUGAAUCUGAUCUCAGAUGAAGCAAGAAAACCCGCCGAAUUUAAGCAUAUUAUUAAGCGGAGGAGAAGAAACUAACAAGGAUUCCCUUAGUAACGGCGAGUGAAGAGGGAAGAGCUCAACGUUAAAAUCGAUCUAUCAAGCGAUAGUAUCGAAUUGUAAUCUCGUGACCAUUGCUCAGCUUCGACUCAGAUAGAAAUCUCUUGAAACAAGGUCUCAGAGAGGGUGAGAAGCCCGUAACUGAUCUGAAGUCUGCGAGGCGUACGACAGUGGUUUACCGAGUCGAAUAGCUUGGGAAUGCUGUUCUAAAUGGGUGGUAAAUUUCAUCUAAAGCUAAAUAUUCCCGAGAGACCGAUAGCGAACAAGUACCGUGAGGGAAAGAUGAAAAGAACUUUGAAAAGAGAGUUAAAAAGUACUUGAAAUUGUUAAGAAGGAAGCACUGAACACCAGUGGUGCUUUUCGUCUAUGGGUACGUCGGUACGGUUGAAACGGGUAAACUUCAACGUUAAAGUGAAGGUAAACUGUUUUUCUCAGCUGCCACGUAUUCUCGGAUGGAGAGUGAGUCAAGAUCAGAUGUGUUUACGACUUUGAAGAAAGUGGUCGCAAGGUGCUCUCUUAGCAAUAGGAGAGACUAAUCUGGCGUAUCAUCAAACAAAGUUCACGUCUGAGGUAAUCGACAACGAUAGUACGCUCCGUAAGGCUGCAGAUGGGUAUUCCUAGUUGUAUGUGUGAUGUGGAGAGCAAAGCUCUGUAGCGUCCACAUAUGAUUACUGGGUGUUCAUUUGACCGCGUACUCGCGAUCUUGACAAAAUGGUUUUCAUUGACCCGUCUUGAAACACGGACCAAGGAGUCUAACGUAUAUGCAAGUAUUUGGGCUUAUAAACCCUGAUGCGUAAUGAAAGUGAAGCUUUACUUUUUGUAAAGUGAGGUAGGAACCGUAAGGGGCACUAUCGACCGAUCGUUCAUUCAUGAAAGAUUUGAGUAAGAGCAUAUCUGUUGGGACCCGAAAGAUGGUGAACUAUGCCUGAUCAGGGUGAAGCCAGGGGAAACUCUGGUGGAGGCUCGUAGCGAUACUGACGUGGCAAAUCGUUCGUCUGAAUUGGGUAUAGGGGCGAAAGACUAAUCGAACUAUCUGGUUGCUGGUUCCCGC
RNAcentral lists this unclassified non-coding RNA (1972 nucleotides) under uncultured fungus. RNAcentral's name for it is "sequence contains 18S rRNA gene, ITS1, 5.8S rRNA gene, ITS2, 28S rRNA gene". The stretch from base 833 to 1972 matches the Rfam family "Eukaryotic large subunit ribosomal RNA", at positions 1 to 961 of the family's 3401-position model. Lineage: Eukaryota; Fungi. The record is from RNAcentral.